UCUCUGAAACCUCCAGCAUUUGUGCCC
RNAcentral lists this non-coding RNA (27 nucleotides) under Homo sapiens (human). Lineage: Eukaryota; Metazoa; Chordata; Mammalia; Primates; Hominidae. The record is from RNAcentral.